GCAUAUCAAUAAGCGGAGGAAAAGAAACCAACAGGGAUUGCCCUAGUAACGGCGAGUGAAGCGGCAACAGCUCAAAUUUGAAAUCUGGCUUCGGCCCGAGUUGUAAUUUGCAGAGGAUGUUUCUGGCGCGGUGCCUUCCGAGUUCCCUGGAACGGGACGCCACAGAGGGUGAGAGCCCCGUAUGGUUGGACACCAAGCCUGUGUGAAACUCCUUCGACGAGUCGAGUAGUUUGGGAAUGCUGCUCAAAAUGGGAGGUAAAUCUCUUCUAAAGCUAAAUACCGGCCAGAGACCGAUAGCGCACAAGUAGAGUGAUCGAAAGAUGAAAAGCACCUUGAAAAGGGGGUUAAACAGUACGUGAAAUUGUUGAAAGGGAAGCGCUUGUGACCAGACUUGCGCCGGGCGGUUCAUCCGGGGUUCUCCCCGGUGCACUCCGCCCGGCUCAGGCCAGCAUCGGUUUUCGUUGGGGGAUAAGAACGGCAGGAACGUGGCCCUCCUUCGGGUGGGUGUUAUAGCCUGCCGUACGAUACCCUGACGGGGACCGAGGUUCGCGCUCCGCAAGGAUGCUGGCGUAAUGGUCAUCAGCGACCCGUCUUGAAACACGGACCAAGGAGUCGUCCAUUAGAGCGAGCGUUUGGGUGUCAAACCCGCACGCGUAAUGAAAGUGAAAUUAGGUGAGAGCUUCGGCGCAUCAUCGACCGAUCCUGAUGUUCUCGGAUGGAUUUGAGUAAGAGUUUUAACGGACGGACCCGAAAGACAGUGAACUAUGCUUGUAUAGGGUGAAGCCAGAGGAAACUCUGGUGGAGGCUCGCAGCGGUUCUGACGUGCAAAUCGAUCGUCAAAUAUGAGCAUGGGGGCGAAAGACUAAUCGAACUGUCUAGUAGCUGGUUACCGCCGAU
RNAcentral lists this ribosomal RNA (897 nucleotides) under Cryphonectria parasitica (chestnut blight fungus). Its description in RNAcentral is "LSU rRNA". It matches the Rfam family "Eukaryotic large subunit ribosomal RNA", at positions 38 to 965 of the family's 3401-position model. The record is from RNAcentral. Lineage: Eukaryota; Fungi; Ascomycota; Sordariomycetes; Diaporthales; Cryphonectriaceae.